This 468-nucleotide ribosomal RNA is filed under the name uncultured bacterium. RNAcentral describes it as "partial 16S ribosomal RNA". It matches the Rfam family "Bacterial small subunit ribosomal RNA", at positions 28 to 507 of the family's 1533-position model. The record is from RNAcentral.
GACGAACGCUGGCGGCGUGCUUAACACAUGCAAGUCGAACGGAAAGGCCCUGCUUUUGUGGGGUGCUCGAGUGGCGAACGGGUGAGUAACACGUGAGUAACCUGCCCUUGACUUUGGGAUAACUUCAGGAAACUGGGGCUAAUACCGGAUAGGAGCUCCUGCCGCAUGGUGGGGGUUGGAAAGUUUCGGCGGUUGGGGAUGGACUCGCGGCUUAUCAGCUUGUUGGUGGGGUAGUGGCUUACCAAGGCUUUGACGGGUAGCCGGCCUGAGAGGGUGACCGGCCACAUUGGGACUGAGAUACGGCCCAGACUCCUAGGGGAGGCAGCAGUGGGGAAUAUUGCACAAUGGGCGGAAGCCUGAUGCAGCAACGCCGCGUGCGGGAUGACGGCCUUCGGGUUGUAAACCGCUUUCGCCUGUGACGAAGCGUGAGUGACGGUAAUGGGUAAAGAAGCACCGGCUAACUACGUG